AGGGUUUGAUUAUGGCUCAGGAUGAACGCUGGCGGCGUGCUUAACACAUGCAAGUCGAACGAACCUUCGGGUUAGCGGCGGACGGGUGAGUAACGCGUGAGAAUCUGCCCUCAGGAGGGGGAUAACGGUUGGAAACGACCGCUAAUACCCCAUAUGCCUACUGGUGAAAUGAAUUUCGCCUGGGGAUGAGCUCGCGUCUGAUUAGCUAGUUGGUGAGGUAAUGGCUCACCAAGGCUUCGAUCAGUAGCUGGUCUGAGAGGAUGAUCAGCCACACUGGGACUGAGACACGGCCCAGACUCCUACGGGAGGCAGCAGUGGGGAAUUUUCCGCAAUGGGCGAAAGCCUGACGGAGCAACGCCGCGUGAGGGACGAAGGCCUCUGGGCUGUAAACCUCUUUUCUCAAGGAAGAAGAUAUGACGGUACUUGAGGAAUAAGCCACGGCUAAUUCCGUGCCAGCAGCCGCGGUAAUUC
Molecule: ribosomal RNA, 471 nt
Filed under: uncultured bacterium
Lineage: Bacteria
Description: bacterial SSU rRNA
Rfam family: Bacterial small subunit ribosomal RNA
Source: RNAcentral